RNAcentral lists this ribosomal RNA (200 nucleotides) under uncultured bacterium. RNAcentral describes it as "partial 16S ribosomal RNA". It matches the Rfam family "Bacterial small subunit ribosomal RNA", at positions 8 to 198 of the family's 1533-position model. The record is from RNAcentral.
AGAGUUUGAUCCUGGCUCAGGAUGAACGCUAGCGGCAGGCUUAAUACAUGCAAGUCGAGGGGCAGCAUGUCCCGAGUAAUCGGGAUGAUGGCGACCGGCAAACGGGUGCGGAACACGUACACAACCUUCCUUUAAGCGGGGAAUAGCCCAGAGAAAUUUGGAUUAAUACCCCAUAGUAUAUCAAUUAGGCAUCUUUUUGA